CCUACGGGUGGCAGCAGUGGGGAAUAUUGCACAAUGGGGGAAACCCUGAUGCAGCGACGCCGCGUGAGUGAAGAAGUAUUUCGGGUUGUAAAGUUCUGUCAGCAGGGAAGAAAAUGACGGUACCUGACCAAGAAGCCCCGGCUAACUACGUGCCAGCAGCCGCGGUAAUACGUAGGGGGCAAGCGUUAUCCGGAUUUACUGGGUGUAAAGAGAGCGUAGACGGGAGGGCAAGUCUGAGGUGAAAGGCGGGGGCUCAACCCCCGGACUGCUCUGGAAACUGCUAGGCUGGAGUGCAGGAGAGGUAAGUGGAAUUCCUAGUGUAGCGGUGAAAUGCGUAGAUAUUAGGAGGAACACCAGUGGCGAAGGCGGCUUACUGGACUGUAACUGACGUUGAGGCUCGAAAGCGUGGGGAGCAAACAGGAUUAGAUACCCGAGUAGUC
RNAcentral lists this ribosomal RNA (440 nucleotides) under uncultured bacterium. Its description in RNAcentral is "partial 16S ribosomal RNA". It matches the Rfam family "Bacterial small subunit ribosomal RNA", at positions 338 to 795 of the family's 1533-position model. The record is from RNAcentral.